GAGCUGCAACUGGAGGAGAGCUGUGCGGAGGCGCAGGACGGGGAGCUGGACGGGCUGUGGACGACCAUCACCAUCUUCAUCACACUCUUCCUGUUAAGCGUGUGCUACAGUGCCACCGUCACCUUCUUCAAGUGAAGUGGAUCUUCUCCUCGGUGGUGGACCUGAAGCAGACCAUCAUCCCCGACUACAGGAACAUGAUCGGACAGGGGGCCUAGGGCCACCCUCUGCGGGGUGUCCAGGGCCGCCCAGACCCCACACACCA
RNAcentral lists this long non-coding RNA (262 nucleotides) under Homo sapiens (human). Its description in RNAcentral is "non-protein coding lnc-BRF1-8:1". Lineage: Eukaryota; Metazoa; Chordata; Mammalia; Primates; Hominidae. The record is from RNAcentral.